Molecule: long non-coding RNA, 561 nt
Filed under: Setaria viridis
Lineage: Eukaryota; Viridiplantae; Streptophyta; Magnoliopsida; Poales; Poaceae
Description: long non-coding RNA (SVIR_LNC006977)
Source: RNAcentral
UAGAUUGCUCGCCUCUUUUUCUUGUUCGUUCUUCGAUUGCGGACAGGAAUUGAUCUUCGUGAUCAGGCUGAUCUCGCACCGGCGAGGUUGGUAACCAUCGGGAGUUGGUUCAGCGAUUGCAUUGGCGCUUCGGGUUCGCUCGUCGUAGUCGGAUCGUGAGGUCUACUUCCACCAAGUCGAAUUUAUGUCCACUCACCGAAAGAUCGGGCACUCCGACUCUAUCAAGUGGUAUCAGCUUUCCAGGUUGAUCGGUGAGUUUUACCGAGUGUUUUUCCCUUCCUACAGUCCACAAAAACCAAAAGAAAUUUUUUUCAGGUUAGAUCCUUGUCCCAGCAACCGUUUAGCCUCGCACAUUCUUUCAAUAAGUGUCUUUGUUGAAUUUGUGUCCCUACUCGUUCAAUUGUUGCUGGUUACUUGUGUUUAAUCUCUUGUUUCUCAUUUUUCCUCUAAACCCUAGUUUUCGCCGCCGCCGCCGUUCUGCUGCUCGCCAACCCUACCACGCCACGCCCACCGCCCCCCUUCGCGACAACUGCGCCGCGCCAUCCCACCCCUCCGAUCGCC